AGAGCGAACGCUGGCGGCGUGCUUAACACAUGCAAGUCGAACGCGCAGCAGUUUGUAGCAAUACAGAUUGUGGGCGCGUGGCGAACGGGUGCGUAACACGUGGAUAACCUUCCUUCAGGUGGGGAAUAACCCAGUGAAAAUUGGGCUAAUACCGCAUAACAUGACGAUGGCACAUGCCGUUGUCUUCAAAGGCGCAAGUCGCCAGAAGAGGGAUCCGCGGCCGAUUAGCUAGUUGGCGAGGUAAUGGCUCACCAAGGCAAUGAUCGGUAGCCGGACUGAGAGGUUGGCCGGCCACACUGGAACUGAGACACGGUCCAGACUCCUACGGGAGGCAGCAGUGGGGAAUCUUGCACAAUGGACGAAAGUCUGAUGCAGCAACGCCGCGUGGGGAUGAAGCUUUGGAGUGUAAACCCCUUUGACCCGGAAGAAGCCCGCAAGGGUUGACGGUACGGGUAUAAGAAGCCCGGCUAACUACGUGCCAGCAGCCG
This 488-nucleotide ribosomal RNA is filed under the name uncultured bacterium. RNAcentral describes it as "SSU rRNA". It matches the Rfam family "Bacterial small subunit ribosomal RNA", at positions 26 to 517 of the family's 1533-position model. The record is from RNAcentral.